Molecule: long non-coding RNA, 242 nt
Organism: Dermochelys coriacea (leatherback sea turtle)
Lineage: Eukaryota; Metazoa; Chordata; Testudines; Dermochelyidae
Exons: 3
Source: RefSeq, a predicted model, not a curated record
GUGGGGAUUUGGCUGGUGCCUUUCUCUGUGUGAUUCAUGAGUGGCUCUGGGAGCAUUAAUGCCAUCUAGCUGGAUGUGGGGCUCCACAUGCUGUUGUGCUGAGUGAUCACAGCAGCUGGAGGGGUUUGCUACUUGCCACGAGCAAAGCAUUGAGAGAGACAGCCCAGGCUGGAGAGUUCAGGGGGCAUAGCAGUCCCACAGUCCCAGGCUGCAACCCAAGGAUCCCAUCACCCCCCAAUCUG